GGGUCUAUAUAUAAGGGUGCUUUACGUCCCACCCAAGGCAAGAGGAACGUCAGCGAGGAAGACAAAGAGGCCCGGGGUGGGGCGCAUGCCCUCCACUGGUCUGAAAGCUGAGUCACAGGAAUCGUACCCCUGCAGCCGGCCAGCCUCUCCAGCGAGAGACACCGCGCCCUUGUGUGGAGAUGUCCACAGUAGACAAAGGCAGUUUCGCAAUAAAAGAAUGCCUGUCACCCUAGGUGCCACCCCGACCCUUAGUUAUUAUGCACUGGUCCCCAAGAGCAAUUUUUGCGCUGCUGUUGCAAAAAUUCAUCGUAAUGAAAUAAACGUAAAAGGGGAAAAUGUGUUAUGAAGGAAGUAUUGGAGCGUGCUUUGCUCAUGUAUUUUUUUCGCCAUGUUGUGGUUAGGGUGCACUAGUGGACCCCGGGUUGGGGGUGGGGCUCCCCAAAAGCCUGGCAGGCCUCCGGAUGCCGUUCCGAGACGCGGCGCGAAGGAGUUAAGCGGGCCGGCGGGUGACAUCACCUCAUUUACAUAGGAGCGCCCAUAAAGCGGCGCCCGCCGCACCCCGCCCGACAACUCGGUGGUGGCCACUGCGCAGACCAGACUUCGCUCGUUUUCGUGCGCCUCGCUCCGCUUUUCCUCCGCGACCAUGUCUGACAAACCCGAUAUGGCUGAGAUCGAGAAAUUCGAUAAGUCGAAACUGAAGAAGACAGAGACGCAAGAGAAAAAUCCACUGCCUUCCAAAGAAACGAUUGAACAGGAGAAGCAAGCAGGCGAAUCGUAAUGAGGCGUGCGCCGCCAAUAUGCACUGUACAUUCCACAAGCAUUGCCUUCUUAUUUUACUUCUUUUAGCUGUUUAACUUUGUAAGAUGCAAAGAGGUUGGAUCAAGUUUAAAUGACUGUGCUGCCCCUUUCACAUCAAAGAACUACUGACAACGAAGGCCGCGCCUGCCUCUCCCAUCUGUCUAUCUGGCUGGCAGGGAAGGAAAGAACUUGCAUGUUGGUGAAGGAAGAAGUGGGGUGGAAGAAGUGGGGGUGGGACGACAGUGAAAUCUAGAGUAAAACCAAGCUGGCCCAAGGUGUCCUGCAGGCUGUAAUGCAGUUUAAUCAGAGUGCCAUUUUUUUUUUUUGUUCAAAUGAUUUUAAUUAUCGGAAUGCACAAUUUUUUUAAUAUGCAAAUAAAAAGUUUAAAAACUUA
Molecule: RNA transcript, 1192 nt
Organism: Cercocebus atys (sooty mangabey)
Lineage: Eukaryota; Metazoa; Chordata; Mammalia; Primates; Cercopithecidae
Gene: TMSB4X
Gene name: thymosin beta 4, X-linked
Exons: 4
Source: RefSeq, a predicted model, not a curated record